This 257-nucleotide ribosomal RNA is filed under the name uncultured bacterium. RNAcentral's name for it is "partial 16S ribosomal RNA". It matches the Rfam family "Bacterial small subunit ribosomal RNA", at positions 524 to 776 of the family's 1533-position model. The record is from RNAcentral.
UACGUAGGGUGCAAGCGUUGUCCGGAAUUAUUGGGCGUAAAGAGCUCGUAGGCGGUCUGUCGCGUCGGCUGUGAAAACUUGGGGCUCAACCCCAAGCCUGCAGUCGAUACGGGCAGACUAGAGUGCGGUAGGGGAGACUGGAAUUCCGUGGUGUAGACGGUGAAAUGCGCAGAUAUCAGGAGGAACACCGGUGGCGAAGGCGGGUCUCUGGGCCGUAACUGACGCUGGAGGAGCGAAAGCCGUGGGGAGCGAACAGG